RNAcentral lists this ribosomal RNA (551 nucleotides) under uncultured bacterium. RNAcentral's name for it is "bacterial SSU rRNA". It matches the Rfam family "Bacterial small subunit ribosomal RNA", at positions 353 to 896 of the family's 1533-position model. The record is from RNAcentral.
AGUGGGGAAUAUUGCACAAUGGGCGCAAGCCUGAUGCAGCCAUGCCGCGUGUAUGAAGAAGGCCUUCGGGUUGUAAAGUACUUUCAGUAAGGAGGAAGGCAGUUGCGUUAAUAGCGUAAUUGUUUGACGUUACUUACAGAAGAAGCACCGGCUAACUCCGUGCCAGCAGCCGCGGUAAUACGGAGGGUGCGAGCGUUAAUCGGAAUUACUGGGCGUAAAGCGCAUGCAGGUGGUCUGUUAAGUCAGAUGUGAAAGCCCCGGGCUUAACCCGGGAAUAGCAUUUGAAACUGUCAGGCUAGAGUACUGUAGAGGGGGGUAGAAUUUCAGGUGUAGCGGUGAAAUGCGUAGAGAUCUGAAGGAAUACCGGUGGCGAAGGCGGCCCCCUGGACAGAUACUGACACUCAGAUGCGAAAGCGUGGGGAGCAAACAGGAUUAGAUACCCUGGUAGUCCACGCCGUAAACGAUGUCUACUUGGAGGUUGUGGCCUUGAGCCGUGGCUUUCGGAGCUAACGCGUUAAGUAGACCGCCUGGGGAGUACGGUCGCAAGAUUA